GAUGAACGCUAGCUACAGGCUUAACACAUGCAAGUCGCGGGGCAGCAUGGGGGUUGCUUGCAAUCCCCGAUGGCGACCGGCGCACGGGUGAGUAACGCGUAUCCAACCUGCCCUUCACCACGGGAUAACCCGGCGAAAGUCGGACUAAUACCGUAUGUUGUCCAUUGACGGCAUCCGAUUUGGACGAAAGGUUUGGCGGUGAAGGAUGGGGAUGCGUCCGAUUAGCUGGACGGCGGGGUGACGGCCCACCGUGGCGACGAUCGGUAGGGGUUCUGAGAGGAAGGUCCCCCACACUGGAACUGCGACACGGUCCAGACUCCUACGGGAGGCAGCAGUGAGGAAUAUUGGUCAAUGGGCGUAAGCCUGAACCAGCCAAGUAGCGUGCAGGAUGACGGCCCUAUGGGUUGUAAACUGCUUUUAUGCGGGGAUAAAGUGGCCCACGUGUGGGUUUCUGCAGGUACCGCAUGAAUAAGGACCGGCUAAUUCCGUG
This 490-nucleotide ribosomal RNA is filed under the name uncultured bacterium. Its description in RNAcentral is "partial 16S ribosomal RNA". It matches the Rfam family "Bacterial small subunit ribosomal RNA", at positions 28 to 507 of the family's 1533-position model. The record is from RNAcentral.